Molecule: transfer RNA, 76 nt
Filed under: Candidatus Pelagibacter sp. HIMB1321
Lineage: Bacteria; Pseudomonadati; Pseudomonadota; Alphaproteobacteria; Candidatus Pelagibacterales; Candidatus Pelagibacteraceae
Also listed under: 9 other names
Description: tRNA_Asn_GTT
Rfam family: tRNA
About the family: Transfer RNA (tRNA) molecules are approximately 80 nucleotides in length.
Source: RNAcentral
UCCUCGGUAGCUCAGUUGGUAGAGCAGUUGACUGUUAAUCAAUUGGUCGCAGGUUCGAGUCCUGCCCGGGGAGCCA